RNAcentral lists this ribosomal RNA (459 nucleotides) under Triticum aestivum (bread wheat). Its description in RNAcentral is "partial small subunit ribosomal RNA". The record is from RNAcentral. Lineage: Eukaryota; Viridiplantae; Streptophyta; Magnoliopsida; Poales; Poaceae.
AUGUCACCUACUAGAACAAGCACAAGCACAACCAUAUGCAGUCUCUUGACCUAUCGAUGCUUGUGUGAAUUCAUAAGCCUGACUGAAUCUGCUGAUGCCAGAAGGAACUCUGAAUUCGUAUGCCAUGUAUGGAACAUGUCAUUCAGAUGGUCUUUGGUUAUUCAUCUAACAAAAUAUAUGGAUGCAAGUGAAAUUUGUAACAAGGCAAAGAUUUUUGUUUCGUUUUGCAUGGAACAAGGCAAAGAUUUCACUGUCGUAUUUUUCAUUAUGUAUAGUGAAUACUUUAUUGGGCUGCAAUGCAUUUACCAUUUGAAUUAUCAUGUCGAUAAAAUCGCUCCAUGCGAGCGGUUGUCAAAUUUCCUUGUAAAAGUACCACUAGAAGUUUGUUCUUCUAAUUUGUGUGUGCUUUCAUCAAAUAGUGAUAGGCUUAUCAAUAAGUGCCUUAUUGAGUGUAUCUGA